This 71-nucleotide transfer RNA is filed under the name Candidatus Wolfebacteria bacterium RIFCSPHIGHO2_01_FULL_48_22. Its description in RNAcentral is "tRNA-Gln". It matches the Rfam family "tRNA". From Rfam's summary of the family: Transfer RNA (tRNA) molecules are approximately 80 nucleotides in length. The record is from RNAcentral. Lineage: Bacteria; Candidatus Wolfeibacteriota. RNAcentral also lists the same sequence under 1 other name.
UGCGGGGUGGUGCAAUGGUAACACGCCUGCCUUUGAAGCAGGAGCUCCAGGUCCGAUCCCUGGCCCCGCAG